This 273-nucleotide ribosomal RNA is filed under the name uncultured Sulfuricurvum sp. RNAcentral's name for it is "partial 16S ribosomal RNA". It matches the Rfam family "Bacterial small subunit ribosomal RNA", at positions 1109 to 1382 of the family's 1533-position model. Lineage: Bacteria; Pseudomonadati; Campylobacterota; Epsilonproteobacteria; Campylobacterales; Sulfurimonadaceae. The record is from RNAcentral.
ACUUAGUUGCUAACAGUUCGGCUGAGCACUCUAGGGAGACUGCCUUCGCAAGGAGGAGGAAGGUGAGGACGACGUCAAGUCAUCAUGGCCCUUACGGCCAGGGCUACACACGUGCUACAAUGGGGCGUACAGAGAGCUGCGAUACCGCGAGGUGGAGCCAAUCUCUUAAAGCGUCUCUCAGUUCGGAUUGUUCUCUGCAACUCGAGAACAUGAAGCUGGAAUCACUAGUAAUCGCAGAUCAGCUAUGCUGCGGUGAAUACGUUCCCGGGUCUU